GAUGAACGCUGGCGGCGUGCCUAAUACAUGCAAGUCGAGCGAACGGACGAGAAGCUUGCUUCUCUGAUGUUAGCGGCGGACGGGUGAGUAACACGUGGAUAACCUACCUAUAAGACUGGGAUAACUUCGGGAAACCGGAGCUAAUACCGGAUAAUAUUUUGAACCGCAUGGUUCAAAAGUGAAAGACGGUCUUGCUGUCACUUAUAGAUGGAUCCGCGCUGCAUUAGCUAGUUGGUAAGGUAACGGCUUACCAAGGCAACGAUGCAUAGCCGACCUGAGAGGGUGAUCGGCCACACUGGAACUGAGACACGGUCCAGACUCCUACGGGAGGCAGCAGUAGGAAAUCUUCCGCAAUGGGCGAAAGCCUGACGGAGCAACGCCGCGUGAGUGAUGAAGGUCUUCGGACCGUAAAACUCUGUUAUUAGGGAAGAACAUAUGUGUAAGUAACUGUGCACAUCUUGACGGUACCUAAUCAGAAAGCCACGGCUAACUACGUG
This 497-nucleotide ribosomal RNA is filed under the name uncultured bacterium. Its description in RNAcentral is "partial 16S ribosomal RNA". It matches the Rfam family "Bacterial small subunit ribosomal RNA", at positions 28 to 507 of the family's 1533-position model. The record is from RNAcentral.